RNAcentral lists this ribosomal RNA (303 nucleotides) under uncultured bacterium. RNAcentral describes it as "partial 16S ribosomal RNA". It matches the Rfam family "Bacterial small subunit ribosomal RNA", at positions 507 to 809 of the family's 1533-position model. The record is from RNAcentral.
AGCAGUAGCCGCGGGAAUACAGAGGGUGCGAGCGUUAAUCGGAAUUACUGGGCGUAAAGCGCGCGUAGGUGGUUUGUUAAGUUGGAUGUGAAAUCCCCGGGCUCAACCUGGGAACUGCAUCCAAAACUGGCAAGCUAGAGUAUGGUAGAGGGUGGUGGAAUUUCCUGUGUAGCGGUGAAAUGCGUAGAUAUAGGAAGGAACACCAGUGGCGAAGGCGACCACCUGGACUGAUACUGACACUGAGGUGCGAAAGCGUGGGGAGCAAACAGGAUUAGAUACCCCCGUAGUCCCUGUCUCUUAUAA